This 747-nucleotide ribosomal RNA is filed under the name Triticum aestivum (bread wheat). RNAcentral's name for it is "partial small subunit ribosomal RNA". Lineage: Eukaryota; Viridiplantae; Streptophyta; Magnoliopsida; Poales; Poaceae. The record is from RNAcentral.
AUGGGUCAUCACCCCUGGGUGAUCUUAGGGGAUUUUAAUGAAAUUUUACUGUCGUCAGAAAAAGAGGGCGGAAAUGCAAGACCAAAUGCUAUGAUGAGAGACUUCCGUAAUUGUCUAGGAGAGUGUGGCCUCGAGGAUAUGGGUUGUAUUGGAGACCCUUUCACUUGGAGGAGAGGCGAUACUAGAGAGAGGCUCGACCGUGCGGUGUGCAAUGUGGAAUGGGCGAACAAAUUCCCUCGGGCUGCGUUAAUUAAUGAGGAACACGUUCAUUCUGAUCAUCGUCCACUCGUACUGGAUACGGAAUAUUUUGAUGGAAAUAUUUUUAACGCCCCAAGGGGACGAGUAAAACAAUUUGAAGCUAGAUGGCUCAAGGAGGAGACGGUCGGCGAAAUUGUUCGUACAACAUGGGAAAAGGCAAAGAUGCUGAGUAUUGGGCCAAAGCUCGCCGAUCGUACUCGUGCGCUUCAGUCAGAUCUGCACAUUUGGGGUCACGAGGUUUUGAGAGGCCCAAAACAGAGAAUAAAAAAGCUAAAAAAAGAGUUGGAGAAGCUACGGAAAGGCCCUAUGAAUGUGGAUUCCCAUGCACGACAGAAGGAGAUUUUGGUUCUCAUUGAAAAUUUGCUGGAACAAGAGGAGAUUCAUUGGGUACAUCGUGGUCGUGCAAAUUGGUUAUUGCAUGGGGAUCGCAACACUUCUUUCUUUCAUAAUGCGGCAACGGCUAGGUACGGAAAUGAAGGAUUAUAUUAA